Molecule: ribosomal RNA, 460 nt
Filed under: uncultured bacterium
Lineage: Bacteria
Description: partial 16S ribosomal RNA
Rfam family: Bacterial small subunit ribosomal RNA
Source: RNAcentral
CCUACGGGAGGCUGCAGUGAGGAAUAUUGGUCAAUGGACGAGAGUCUGAACCAGCCAAGUAGCGUGAAGGAUGACUGCCCUAUGGGUUGUAAACUUCUUUUAUAAAGGAAUAAAACGAGGCACGUGUGCCUUUUUGCAUGUACUUUAUGAAUAAGGAUCGGCUAACUCCGUGCCAGCAGCCGCGGUAAUACGGAGGAUCCGAGCGUUAUCCGGAUUUAUUGGGUUUAAAGGGAGCGUAGAUGGGUUGUUAAGUCAGUUGUGAAAGUUUGCGGCUCAACCGUAAAAUUGCAAUUGAUACUGGCAUUCUUGAGUACAGUUGAGGUAGGCGGAAUUCGUGGUGUAGCGGUGAAAUGCUUAGAUAUCACGAAGAACCCCGAUUGCGAAGGCAGCUUACUAAACUGUGACUGACAUUGAUGCUCGAAAGUGUGGGUAUCAAACAGGAUUAGAUACCCUUGUAGUC